AAAACAUUACUUAUUUACUUGUAUGUCAAUUAUACUCAAAAUUCACAGCUGGUUCUUGUUUAGUUUAUUCUUGUUACUAAUCUUCUUUUGUUUUUGUGUCUUUGGGUACUCUUAAUCGUUGUGUAUGCAAACUCGGAGCUGUGGAGCACUAACCUUGUUCCUUUGGAUCGUGAGAUUGAACGCACAGCUAGGUCACAUCGGAAACGUGCUUCGCAGCGUGUGGGAGAGGAAAAUAAGACUGAGUCCUUGCCUUUUCCACCGUUUCCACCACAAUCACUUAUUCCACCUUCACCUGUUGAGCUACAACAAGCAGUGAACACACCCCUUCCUCUUGUGCCUUU
Molecule: long non-coding RNA, 341 nt
Filed under: Fragaria vesca (wild strawberry)
Lineage: Eukaryota; Viridiplantae; Streptophyta; Magnoliopsida; Rosales; Rosaceae
Description: long non-coding RNA (FVES_LNC005366)
Source: RNAcentral